Molecule: microRNA precursor, 96 nt
Filed under: Marmota monax (woodchuck)
Lineage: Eukaryota; Metazoa; Chordata; Mammalia; Rodentia; Sciuridae
Source: RNAcentral
UAUUGCAGAGUAUCUGAGAUGUGUGUGUGUGUGUGUGUGUGUAUAAUUACAUAUAUAUAGUAUACACACACACACACACACACACAUAUAUAUAUA